Molecule: ribosomal RNA, 406 nt
Filed under: uncultured bacterium
Lineage: Bacteria
Description: partial 16S ribosomal RNA
Rfam family: Bacterial small subunit ribosomal RNA
Source: RNAcentral
AUUGAACGCUGGCGGCAGGCCUAACACAUGCAAGUCGAACGAGUGGCGGACGGGUGAGUAAUGUCUGGGAAACUGCCCGAUGGAGGGGGAUAACUACUGGAAACGGUAGCUAAUACCGCAUACCAUCGGAUGUGCCCAGAUGGGAUUAGAUAGGAGGUGGGGUAACGGCUCACCGAGGCGACGAGCCCUAGCUGGUCUGAGAGGAUGACCAGCAACCCUGGAACUGAGCCACGGUCCAGACUCCUACGGGAGGCAGCGGUGGGGAAUAUUGCACAAUGGGCGAAAGCCUGAUGCCGCCAGGCCGCGUGUAUGAAGAAGGCCUUCGGGUUGUAGAGUACGUUCAGCGAGGAGGCGUUACUCGCAGAAGAAGCACCGGCUAACUCCGUGCCAGCAGCCGCGGUAAUUC